CCUACGGGAGGCAGCAGUGGGGAAUAUUGCACAAUGGGGGAAACCCUGAUGCAGCGACGCCGCGUGAGUGAAGAAGUAUUUCGUUAUGUAAAGCUCUAUCAGCAGGGAAGAAAAUGACGGUACCUGAGUAAGAAGCCCCGGCUAACUACGUGCCAGCAGCCGCGGUAAUACGUAGGGGGCAAGCGUUAUCCGGAUUUACUGGGUGUAAAGGGAGCGUAGACGGCGGUGCAAGUCUGGAGUGAAAGGGGGGGGCUCAACCCCCGGACUGCUCUGGAAACUGUACGGCUGGAGUGCAGGAGAGGGAAGUGGAAUUCCUAGUGUAGCGGUGAAAUGCGUAGAUAUUAGGAGGAACACCAGUGGCGAAGGCGGCUUACUGGACUGUAACUGACGUUGAGGCUCGAAAGCGUGGGGAGCAAACAGGAUUAGAUACCCGUGUAGUC
This 440-nucleotide ribosomal RNA is filed under the name uncultured bacterium. RNAcentral's name for it is "partial 16S ribosomal RNA". It matches the Rfam family "Bacterial small subunit ribosomal RNA", at positions 338 to 795 of the family's 1533-position model. The record is from RNAcentral.